AGGAAAAGAGGGGAAAGCGAGGAGGAGCCAGGGGUGCUGCAGGAGGAUGUUGGGGGGCCGUGCGCGGCAGGACAGCUAGAAGGAGCAGACACGUCAGGCACCAGAGCAGACAGCUGAGAAAACAGAGCAGGAGCCAGGGAGGGGACAUCUCCUCGGGAAGCGGGUCUGGGCAGAGGGACUUGGGGGCUGAACCCCAGGAAACAGCUGUGGGCGUGGCUCUCGAGGCGCUUGAGUCCUUGAGGGGGCAGUCCCUUAACUGAGGCCCUGGCUGGGGAGUCUUCAGGGCCUUCUCAACCCCUUCUCUCUGCCCCGGGGAAGUAUCUGGGCUGUGUUGGCCCAGGCACCUGCUUGCCACGAGGGAACCCUGGGGGAGGCACCCAAAGGCCCGCCAGGGAGCUGUCCCACAGGGAUGAGCUUCGCAGUGGUUACAGCCCGUACCCUCAGACACGCUCAGACCCUCCUCCCCUCCUCCCAGGGAGCUGAGAGCGGGAGCCUGUGUCUGGGCCGCGGGAAAGCAGGAGCGCCUCCCCGCCCUUCUGCCUCGCUUUCCCCCAGUUCCUACCCCUGCCCAUCCACGUGGCCCAUCUCUGUAGACGCACUUCUGGAAAACGCCAGGCAAAGGGACGUCGGGUCAGACCCUUCUCUUCCGGCUUCGAGAGCAAAGCCCCAGGCCUGACCACAGCAGACAUGCCCCACGUACAACGCCCACACACGGGUCGCACUCUCUGGCCCCGAGAAACCCACACCUCGAGGACACACACAGGCUCUGCUCCUCUCUGUGAUGCUGGGCCCGUCAGACCAGUGGUUCUCAACUCAGGAUGAUUCUGGUCUCCUCUCCCCCUAUGCCAGAGGAUGUUCAGCAAUGUCCAGACGUUUCUGGUCAUUAUACUUUGGGGAGGACGGGGGAGUUGCUACUGGCUGGCGGCUGGAGGCCAGAGCUCUGCUCAGUGCCCUGCAGUGCAUAGGACGGCCCCACCACGGAGAAUGACGUGGCCCCAAACGUCAACAGUGCCCGGAUUGAGAAACUGCUUUAAACCAUGAGGACCGUAGGAGCUAGGGCAACCCCUCCAGAGAAACAGCAGGAGACGGAGACCAAGGAGGCUCGAAGUCUGGGGCCUCUGCCUUCCUUCCACCACACCUGUGGGCUCUGCGGCCGAGUUAGCCGCAGCCCAGCUCCUCACCUCCACUCCCUCCUUUGGCCCGGUCCGCCCUCCUCUGGGAGAUCAGGAGGUAGCGCCUCCCACAGCACGGGAAGCAGAGGGAGGCUCGCCAGGUAAACCGGGAGGGAAAAAGAGGCGCCAGCCGCCCCGCUCGGGGUUGGCCCUGCAGCACCCAUACCUGCGUCCACGUCGUUGGGCCACCCACUGGACUGGCUGCUGCCAGCUGCUGGGGAGCGGCCUGUGCCAGGAUAGAAGACAUCAUCGACAGGGCUCUCCAUCUCGCUGUCAUCGAUGGACUUGGGGCGCUUGGUGGUGCUGGGGAAGAGGAUCAGGCGGGACAAGGGAAGAUUGACGUACCGGCACCCGAACUGCGCCCCGGUUCGCGCCGGUGACCCGCCGGGUGGGGAGCAGGCGCCUGAUGACCGCAGCAUUCCCAAGCACUCGCUACGUGCCUUCCCCUGAGACCAGACGGGCCCUAGAGUCCCUCGGGACCCCGCAGGUCUGCUCCUCCUCCUCGAACCCCUUCUCAGCCCGUGAUACCUUCAUCCGCAAACCCCCCCUCAACUGCUUCUGUGGUCCCACCUUCUAUUUCCCAUCAGCCCCCAGGGACAGGGCAAGUCGAGAGGCACUCUCCAGGGACAAAAAUGCCAAGGGGUGCUACGGAAUUCAGACAUCAGGAUACUGUGUUCUUUUACGUCAAAAUAUCACUAACACGAGAACAUUAUAACAUCAUAGUGCGAUACUUUAACCAAUAAAAAUAAAUUCCCAAAACCUCA
Herpailurus yagouaroundi (jaguarundi) is the source of this 1936-nucleotide long non-coding RNA. RefSeq lists it as uncharacterized. NCBI's taxonomy places the organism in Eukaryota, Metazoa, Chordata, Mammalia, Carnivora, Felidae. The transcript has 2 exons. The record is from RefSeq and is a predicted model, not a curated record.